This 1301-nucleotide long non-coding RNA is filed under the name Gallus gallus (chicken). Lineage: Eukaryota; Metazoa; Chordata; Aves; Galliformes; Phasianidae. The record is from RNAcentral.
UGGUGCGACGCUAGCUAAUUUUAAAUCUGCUAUGAGUAACACAGUCAAACCUAGUUAGUAUGCAAGAAACUUAUCUCUUAACACAGAAUGCAAAGUUAUGAUGCAACAGCAUGAACAAUCCCUGGUUGUCCAGUUUUCAGUACAAAGGUAGUGCAUAGAUCCAAGUUUCUUUUUGAGUUUGCUGAACUGAGGAGUCGCCGCUUCACUUCUGCUGGGCAGCCUGGAAAGCUUUCAGUUCCAGCUGGUACCACUCGGGUGCUUCCGGCCCAUUCUGCCCCACAGGGUUGUGAUCGUAUCCGUAGGCCACUGUCAAUUCUUCGUCCUUCUCCACAGCCCUGAUGGUACGGAUACACUUGAUCGGCCCGAACCGAGGGUGAACAAACGGGUCAUAGAUGCAGUUAGGAGUGAAAGAAUGGUUGGCCUUAUGCCCCAGUGAGGCACAGUACUUGGCGGCGUGGUUGUAGGGCUCCGGCACGUCUAUGACUGUUUCAUCGUCCAGGGAUAUUGUAUUCCCAUUGAGGGCCCAGUCUCUGCUGUCUACCUCCUGGUGUGUAAUUCUCACUCCAUUGUAAAAGGACAUAACGGUACGAGCUUCUGCCGCUACUUUUGAAAACAAUCCUUCUCCAGCACUGGAAAUGAGAGAGACAUCAACAUACACCCUCUCUGACUCAUAAGGAUCGGGAAGAAGAGCAUUUGUCGAAAUGCAGGAUGAAGUAGAUUUGUCAAAAGUGUACACCGGGCUGCCUGGUACUACUUCAAACUGAGGUUUCCCAUCCUCUAAGGAUGUCAGGGUUGCCAGUUUUGCUUCUAUCAUUUCUCCAUCUAUGAACUUUCCGGAAUAUGCAGUCCUUCCAUCAGGGUACACAUAGGCUAUCUUCUCUCCAGUCAUCUCUCCUUCUUCAUUCACUUCUCCUACAAGGCUGCCUCCAUCCGGGUAAUAUAUCCAACAAACUCCAUGUCGGAUGUUGUCCUUAUACUGCCCUUUGAAUAUCAGUCGCCCAUCACUGUCAUACUCCUGGGCCGGGCCGUUCAGCUCUCCAUCCACAUACGUGCCGUGAAGCACCACUCCAUCCUCGUACGUGUAGAUUCCCUGGCCCUGCAGGGCAUCAUCAACGUAGUACCCUUCCAGGGUGCUUCCAUCAAAGAAGAAGAACUUGCCACGGCCAUUCUUUUCUCCAUGCACAAAGUUUCCCUCAAACCUGUCUGUGGACGAAUAGGUGACCGUACAGAACCCAUGUGGCAACCCAUCGUCGUCUAGAUGUCCUUCCACGGUCUCCUCCAGCGUCUCCUCGUCGCUGUCC